RNAcentral lists this ribosomal RNA (253 nucleotides) under uncultured bacterium. RNAcentral describes it as "partial 16S ribosomal RNA". It matches the Rfam family "Bacterial small subunit ribosomal RNA", at positions 524 to 776 of the family's 1533-position model. The record is from RNAcentral.
UACGGAGGGGGCUAGCGUUGUUCGGAAUUACUGGGCGUAAAGCGCACGCAGGCGGUCUUCCAAGUCAGAGGUGAAAUCCCCAGGCUCAACCUGGGAAUUGCCUUUGAGACUGUUAGACUAGAGGUCGGGAGAGGGUAGUGGAAUUCCCAGUGUAGAGGUGAAAUUCGUAGAUAUUGGGAAGAACACCAGUGGCGAAGGCGGCUACCUGGACCGAUACUGACGCUGAGGUGCGAAAGCGUGGGGAGCAAACAGG